Molecule: ribosomal RNA, 230 nt
Filed under: uncultured bacterium
Lineage: Bacteria
Also listed under: 1 other name
Description: partial 16S ribosomal RNA
Rfam family: Bacterial small subunit ribosomal RNA
Source: RNAcentral
UACAGAGGGGGCAAGCGUUGUUCGGAAUUACUGGGCGUAAAGGGCGCGUAGGCGGCCUGUUAAGUCGAACGUGAAAUCCCCGGGCUCAACCCGGGAACUGCGUCCGAUACUGGCAGGCUUGAAUCCGGGAGAGGGAUGCGGAAUUCCAGGUGUAGCGGUGAAAUGCGUAGAUAUCUGGAGGAACACCGGUGGCGAAGGCGGCAUCCUGGACCGGCAUUGACGCUGAGGCG